This is a long non-coding RNA of Sardina pilchardus (European sardine), 906 nucleotides long. RefSeq lists it as uncharacterized. NCBI's taxonomy places the organism in Eukaryota, Metazoa, Chordata, Actinopteri, Clupeiformes, Clupeidae. The record is from RefSeq and is a predicted model, not a curated record. The transcript is spliced from 2 exons.
CUGUCAGUCAAAUAACUCCGCCAUGACCCAACUAAUUUUAUCAUUGAAAACUUCCUCAUAAAAGUCAAAUCAUUAGCUUUCCAGUGGUAUGAUUGGUUAAGGGAUUUGUGUGAAUCGAGAGUUGAGGUCUUCUUCAGCUGAAGGAAAAGCAGCAAGAAGCACAAUGGCGCAUCACAUCACCUUCACGUCGUCUGAAGGAGAAAAUGCGAGAUCAACAGAGAUUGGAUGGCACAACUGGUGGAAGCAGCCAACUGCAGGACAUUGGCAACCAUAUGACCCCAUGGACUAUGAUGAUGGCAUGAAUAUGGAAGAUGGGAAGCCUCUGAAUAAAGAGAAAGACAAGGAUGUCCUGAAUGUGCAGAGUAAUCUCACCUAUCCUUCUUUCUUGAAUUUCCCCUUAGUGGUCAAUAAUCUAUUUUACAGACAUAAACGUCAUUUACACCCCAUCAUCUGCUAGGUUUAGAUGGACAGAUGGACACACGUAGGCCUACACAUAUCAGCUGUGCCGGAACGUACAUCACGUAUCUGGUGUGAAUGUGGCGUUAUGUGUAACACAACUGUAAUAUAUUGUAUAAAGUAUGAUUUCAUAAACAUUUGUAUUUACAGUUACUGUCUUAGUUAAUUCAGCCUUCUGAUAAUCUCCCCAUUUCCACCAGCUCUAGGAUGCAUCUAGUAUGCAUACCAUUUUUUUUAAUUCUUUAAAUUGACCUUUACAUUUAUAGUAAUGAUCCAUGACCUAGUCAAGUUUGGGUAUAUCAUGUGAGUGCAUUUGCAUCAACCUUCCUUCAUAGGUAAGCUCCCAUCCUUGAGGAGCUUCAACCCCACAUGUAUUGUAAAAUAAAUGCUCUUAAUUUUGCUCUUCAUAUUGCAAUCUUCAGUCAAUAAACAAUUUUUCUUUAAAUAGAA